Molecule: ribosomal RNA, 253 nt
Filed under: uncultured bacterium
Lineage: Bacteria
Description: partial 16S ribosomal RNA
Rfam family: Bacterial small subunit ribosomal RNA
Source: RNAcentral
UACAGAGGGUGCAAGCGUUAAUCGGAAUUACUGGGCGUAAAGCGCACGUAGGCGGCUUGGUAUGUCGGGUGUGAAAUCCCCGGGCUCAACCUGGGAACUGCAUCCGAAACUGCCUUGCUGGAGUAUGGGAGAGGGAAGCGGAAGUUCCGGUGUAGCGGUGAAAUGCGUAGAUAUCGGAAGGAACAUCAGUGGCGAAGGCGGCUUCCUGGCCCAAUACUGACGCUCAGGUGCGAAAGCGUGGGGAGCAAACAGG